UAUGAGGUAGAGAAGCACAGUGGAACUGAUGGGCACAGAUCUCUGAACUCUCAGCCUGUAGCAAAGAUGGUAAUAAAUCUGAGGGACUUUUACAUGAACACAUUAAUUUACAGAUCAUUGGGAGUGGUCUGGUAUUUUGCUGUGGUCUUCCUUGCCCUGGGGACUGAAGUCCCAUUUGAUGUCACUGUUUGGUUAUAUGUUUACAAUAGACUCCCUUCGAGGAUUGGUUUUCUUACCUUUGCGCAGAAAGUCCUUUUUAAAAAUUUCUUAUGUGACGAUCGGUCAGUUAUUUUUGACUUCCAAAUUGCCAGCGGUUUAGACCAACUGUUUGAUUCAGACGGACCCCAAAAUUGGGUACGUUAAAGGAAAAACAGCUGGGCUGUUGGAAGAAGCGAGAACUAGCAAAGUCUUUGACUGAACUUUAGGGUGAGAACUGCCUGGGACGAAGAAAGCACAAUGGAAGAUGGCUGAAAGCCGCAAAAGACUACUGAGCACCCUGGAUCUGGGUAUCUUUGGACGAGUUCUUUUGAAUUGAUGGAUGUGUGAAACUGCUAAUAUGUAAACCACAAUCUGAUGGAUUUAGUGUGUAAGAGAAACAUGAGGACAGGUUAAAACAGGAGGUAAUCUUCUUGAAGAUGUAAAACUGCAGCACAACAGCAGUAAUGGGACAACCUAUUGCAGAAAGAUGUCGGCUGUGUCAAGGUGAGACAUAAUGAUGAAUGGCCUGAACUUCAGCUUGCAGGAGUUGCUAAGAAAAAUUGAACAGAACCUACCCUGGAAGAGAGAGCCCAGAGAAUUGCCAAAGCUGUCCGCAAACAGUCAAUAGAAGUGAAGGAAAAUUGGGAGCAAUUGAAAACCCGUGCGAGCAACUGGCAGAAACAGGUGGAAAAGGCGUUGGAGAAACUUCAACAACUGCAGAAAGCUCUGGAUGAUCUUGAGGCUCAUGUGAUAACAGCUGAGGGGGUCCACACUGAUCAGCAACCUGUGGGUGACCUGCUUAUUGACUCAUUGCAGGGUCACAUUGAUAAAACCACAUGGAUCUGUUGGAGUUGCACACAGCACAACGCGUCUUGGAUCAACACAAAUUGACACAAAACGAGCAACGUCGAAAUGUGACUGAAGUAAUCAACUGUUUGACGACCAUUUAUGAUGGUUUGGAACAAAAUCACUUGGUCAAUGUGUCACUCUGUGUCAACAUGUGUCUGAACUGGCUGCUGAGCGUCUUUGAUACGUAUCUAUGAUUUACACUUUAAUGUAGUAUGUUUAGAUUGUCCUAAGGUGCAUGAAACUGCAUGCGACGUAUUGGAUUUUGAUAUGUACAUGAUCAGUUAAGUAAAUGUGAA
Molecule: RNA transcript, 1343 nt
Organism: Stegostoma tigrinum
Lineage: Eukaryota; Metazoa; Chordata; Chondrichthyes; Orectolobiformes; Stegostomatidae
Gene name: utrophin-like
Exons: 3
Source: RefSeq, a predicted model, not a curated record